GCAGUUCCAAUGUGUGAGGGAAACAGGGGAACAUGACGCGGCGGCUGUCGUAAAGCAUCCCACGAUCCCCUCCUCCGGAUUCGCCGCCCGAGAGACAAACGGAAUCGCCGCCGCCGCAUUACACAUCUACACGCCAUGUCUGCAGGCGGCGCCGCGAGACACCAUCUCCGCGUCCAUGUGCCGUACGCCUCCAUCCCCACGUCGGUCCGCCGCAUCCGUCCACAACCUUAACUUGAUUUCUGAACGGGAUGAAGGAUUAAAUCUUGUGCUAGAUGAAACCAGGUGUCCUUUUAACCUUGCUGUGCACGAGCUCAAGAGGAGAUGUGCUUGUGUAUGAUGUUUGGUUAAUUUCAGAUCAAAUGAUGAAGGAUUAAAUCUUGUGGUAGAUGAAACCAGGUGUCCUUUUAACCUUGCUGUGCACGAGCUCAAGAGGAGAUGUGCUUGUGUAUUAUGUUUGGUUAAUUUCAGAUCAUAGGAUGAAGGAUUAAAUCUUGUGCUAGAUGAAACCAGGUCUCCUUUUAACCUUGCUGUGCACGAGCUCAAGAGGAGAUGUGCUUGUGUAUGAUGUUUGGUUAAUUUCAGAUCAUAUGAAACAAUAGGAGAUGCACAAUUUCAUUUAUGAAAUCAGUUGUAUUCUGCAUUAUCUGGUACAGUGUCAGUGUUCUUCCUUCUAUAUUUUUGCUGGGUUAGUAUACGGCUUUGUAGCACAAAAAAUGGCCACGAUUCUAUGUAGCUGGAGAAGCAAAAUAAAAACCAUAUGCUCAUUUAGUUUUUGUACAUUAUUCUUUUCAUUAUGCAUGCUAUUCCUUUGUAUUUAUGCCAUUGUUUCUUUGCUAAAAUAUAUUUUAUAUGUCACUUACUAUCUCAAAACUGCAGGAUGGAACAUUAAUUCAGUACUAUCACUGGAAACUGUACAAUAUUCAGGAAUCUGAAAGAUUUGCUUUUGCACUUCUAUUUUUCUAUCAUGGAAUACUUUCAUCUUGAAGCACCUACUGAUGGAAAGCCAAUUGUGACAAGGUGUACAUCUUGUUUCUAUCAAGUAGUUUUUUAAUCCUGUGCCUCAAUAUCACAAGAACCAUUUCUGUAUUACCCUUCCUUUUAUUUUCUUUUAUCAUAUAUGGUAUUCAUUACAUAUACACAAACUAGGCUCUUUCACUCUUGACCUUAAAGGUGAGGGUAACAACCAGUAGAUGCAGUGAUCUAUAUUUAAGCACCUCAUUUCUUCAUAUUUAUUUACGUUGUACUAUAUGUGUUCUAUUUUCAUAUGCAUGCAUAAUUUGUUCAAAGUAAUGUUAAUCACUUCCAACAGUAUUCAGAUUUAGAAUUAUUACCGAUUCUCGAUUAAAUUUAGAGAGUUACCUCGGAUUUAGCAAGAAGGGAGUUGUUGAUCCUUUUCUCACUUUAGUAGAAAGUUACUGAAAUCUGGUGUGUUGCUGCAUGAGUAAUAAACAUGAUCAAGUGACACAUCAUUCUCCACACACCCAAUGGUUAAGGAACUUUCUUAGACUUGAGAAACAAGUAGGCAAUUUGCAAGCUUCCAAUAAGCGCUAGGCGCUAAGCGAGCGAUGAGAGCCAGAUUAGUGUAAUUGCAGCUUAAGCGCGAACAGUUUGGUAUUUAUGUCAUAUGGCCAGGAACAACUUUUACUCCGGUAACAUUUUAAACCAGCAAGUUCUUAAGAAUGCUAUUCUUUCUGCAUAUUGCAUAGUCAUACUAGGCAAUGAACAAUUAUGCUCAAGUGGACUUUUACUGGAGACUCAGUUUCAGGCUAUUAGCAUCUUGUGCAUUUCAGGUUGGCAGGAAUUCGUAUCUUAUCUGAAAUGUUUUUUUGUACUUUUGUAUUUAUGGAGUCUAUUUGGAAAUUGAAGUUAUGUCAAUAAGAGACUAAACUGUAUUGUGCCCUUGAAUGCUUCAUGUUGGAUAUAGGCGUAUAGCAGUAAUCAAGAAUGCUAGCUCGAAGAGGGGCGUAUGAAUGGUAUAUUGAACUCAAGCCAAAUCAGACCUAUGAUUUAUUUGAACUGUAACAAAAAAUUGUGCACCGGGACUCUCAUGUACUGUUAGGAUCUAAACUUCCGAAGCUUUCAUUGUGGCACUUAUCAUCUCGGAGAGUUGUUUAUCGUAUCCCCUGAAAAUGUCGUGUUGACAAUUUGCCUUACUUUACAGCUAAUUGACACUACAUGCAUCUAGGUAUAGCAUGAAGGUUUUGAAAGGCCGACAAUAUUCGACAGAUGGUAAAUAUAUAUUUCCUACGUUGCCAUUUUCACAUUUUCUGGCUUUUUUCUUUCUAAAUCAUUGUGUAAAUGUGGCUAUUCUCUAUUUCACAUACCUGCCUAUUUAUUGUUUGGUGACCAAGCUGAACUGAAACUUGAGCGUAGUAUUGUGUUGCUUGCUUAAUCAUAUUCGUGUUUGCCAGAAAAAGGUAUUAUUCAUAUUUUCCAAAAAAGAAGGUAUUAUUCGUCUUCAAUGUUCUUUAAAUUACAUAUAGCAGAUUUGAAUUGACUCGGGCGUAUAUGGGCCUAACAUAUUACUGUAUCAAAAUAAAAUUUGCAGGUAAAUACCCUACACGCAUUGUUUAGUGUUCUGCAACUAAAUCCUACGUUGUCUACACAGUUCAUAUGAUGCAAGACUCUGCUAGCAUGUGACAUUCACCUCUUUUCAGUGAACUUUGGGUCACCGAGCCGUGGUGGAAGACAAAAAAUAAUAAAUUAUUUGAGAGAGUUAGAUUGAUGAAGCAAGCCUGGUUUUGGCUUUAUAAAGACGAGCGCUCACUUGAUAGUCUUCAUUUGUAAUUUCUAUGAACACUUGCCCUGUGUUACCACUUGUACAUAUGUAAUAACUUAUAUAAUAUAUGUAUCAGUUGUAGGAGCUUUUCCUUCUAUAAGUUCCCUAAAAAAAGGUUGAUUUCA
Long non-coding RNA from Lolium perenne, 2904 nucleotides. RefSeq lists it as uncharacterized. The record is from RefSeq and is a predicted model, not a curated record. NCBI's taxonomy places the organism in Eukaryota, Viridiplantae, Streptophyta, Magnoliopsida, Poales, Poaceae.